UGACAGUCUAGUUUUGACAGCCCCAAGGAAAAAAACUUAUUUUCAAAGUAAAUGUGAAAUUGUGAUUAAAAUACACCACGCGACUAAUUAUGGACGGUGUACCAGUUAGAGACCCAAAUCGUCUCACAGAUAUUGAGGAAGUGUCGAUACUGUGGAUAAAAUGUGUGGCACAUUCUCCGUAUCCAGACGAACUAGAAGAUGGCCUUUAGCGAUAUUUUUUCAGUUUUUGAAUAAACAGCAGGAAUAAACAGUCAAA
Molecule: long non-coding RNA, 256 nt
Organism: Leptinotarsa decemlineata (Colorado potato beetle)
Lineage: Eukaryota; Metazoa; Arthropoda; Insecta; Coleoptera; Chrysomelidae
Source: RefSeq, a predicted model, not a curated record